CUAGCUGAGCCUUUAAUAUGACCUGAACAAAUAAAAAAUAAAACCAAAAGAACAAUAAAGUUAGGUUUUCACAGUUUACAUCUCAAGUGGCAUCAAGCACAAAACCACAAAGAUUUGGUCAUAUAAGAUUAAUCAAACCUUAAGAUUAAUCUGUUUAGCUGCAGUUACUCGUUGUUAAAAAAAAAAAUUAGCAAAACUACUAAAAUUCAUCAGAUAAGAAAUGGGAAUUUGUUUCACACAUUCAAAAUUCAAAAUACACAAUUCAUAAUAAAUAAAUAAAUAAAUAAACCUAAACCAGGAAAUGGAAAUAGCAUAAGGUACUCCAAGGCAAUAUCAUCAUUAUAUGAGCUACCAUGAAACUCAAUUUGCAGUAAGCAGCACGAGAACCAAGAACCCCACCCAAAAUAUCAAAAUUAUAGCCACAAAAGCUAAGGAAAGUUUGGAAGGUUUAUUCAAUUCCAGCUAUCUUAUUUCAUAUUCUUGCUUUAAAGAAGAAAAAUAAAUUAAGAAAAUAAAUAAAAAAAUCAGAACAAAAAAAAAAAUCAAUGAGAAGAA
Molecule: unclassified non-coding RNA, 555 nt
Filed under: Hevea brasiliensis (rubber tree)
Lineage: Eukaryota; Viridiplantae; Streptophyta; Magnoliopsida; Malpighiales; Euphorbiaceae
Source: RNAcentral